GCCGCCGCCGCACGCUCGCGGGCGGGCGGGCGGGCUGAGCGGGGCGACGACGCUGCUGCUGCUGCUGCUGCCGGUACUGCUGCUGGUGGUGGUGCUGCCCGCACGGCACCGCACGGAGAGGAGAGGAGCGGAGCGGAGCGGCCGCCCCGCACCGCCUCGCCCUGCACGCAAGGUAGGGAGGCGCGGCGGGCGCGUCCGAGCCGUGCUGUGCCGAGCCGAGCCGUGCCGCGAGGUACCGCGCUGUGCGGCGGCUGCCGGCCGUUACAUAACCCGCAGCGCUUGCGGGGCGCGGGGCGCGGGGUGCGGGGCGCUGCCCUGCCCUGCCCUGCCCUGCCCUGCCCGUCCUGCCGGGGCGGGCACCCCCCGGAGGCUGCCCCGCAGCACGGCGGGGAGCGGGCGGCGCCGCGGGGUGCUGCCGGUGCGCGCUGUGCCUUUUUUUAUUAUUAUUAAUAUUUUUGAUUUUUUCGUGUUUUGCUUUUUUUUUUUUGGAUGUGUGUGUGUGUGUGUGUGUGUGUGUGUUUUCGGGCGCUGCGGGGCCGGGUUCCUGGAAAUGCGGCGUUAUGUAACCGCGGGGAUCGCCCGCAGCCGGGCGGCAGCGGGGCGGCAGCGCCGGGCCACAAAGAGCAGCGGGACGGGUCUGGCGCCCCGGGAAAAUACAUGGAAAAAAUUAAAAAAAAAAAAAUAUAUAUAUAUAUAUAAAGGGAAAAAAAAAGAAAAAGAGGAAUUAAAAAUAUAUAUAUACAUACAUGAGUGUAUAUAUAUAUAUAUAUAUAUGGGGGGUGUAGCAGCGGGGACGCGGCGCCGUGCCCGGCUCUGUCACACCGCGGGACGAGCCGUGCCCGGCGGGGCGGCCCCGUGCUCACACUCACACACUCACUCACUCACACACACUCACUCACACUCACGCUGCCCCCGCUCCUUGCACGCGGGCGUGCCCUGCGGCUGUCCCCGCACACCCAGCCCGGCACAGCCGCGGGGCUCCCUUUUUUUUUUUUUUGGGGGGGACCCCCGCGGCUGGGGCCGGCCCCGUUACCGGGGGCUGUGGGCGCCGUGCGUGCGGCGCAGCCGCGGGGCGCUGUGACAGGCGCC
Molecule: long non-coding RNA, 1089 nt
Filed under: Anas platyrhynchos platyrhynchos (common mallard)
Lineage: Eukaryota; Metazoa; Chordata; Aves; Anseriformes; Anatidae
Description: lncRNA (ENSAPLG00000022560.1)
Source: RNAcentral